CAGUCGACGGUGAAGAGGAGCUUGCUCCUUGGAUCAGUGGCGAACGGGUGAGUAACACGUGAGCAAUCUGCCCUUGACUCUGGGAUAACUGCGGGAAACUGUAGCUAAUACCGGAUAUUACCUUGGAAGGCAUCUUCUGGGGUGGAAAGAAUUUUGGUCAAGGAUGAGCUCGCGGCCUAUCAGCUAGUUGGUGAGGUAAUGGCUCACCAAGGCGACGACGGGUAGCCGGCCUGAGAGGGUGACCGGCCACACUGGGACUGAGACACGGCCCAGACUCCUACGGGAGGCAGCAGUGGGGAAUAUUGCACAAUGGGCGCAAGCCUGAUGCAGCAACGCCGCGUGAGGGACGACGGCCUUCGGGUUGUAAACCUCUUUUAGUAGGGAAGAAGCGAAAGUGACGGUACCUGCAGAAAAAGCACCGGCUAACUACGUGCCAGCAGCCGCGGUAAUACGUAGGGUGCAAGCGUUAUCCGGAAUUAUUGGGCGUAAAGAGCUCGUAGGCGGUUUGUCGCGUCUGCUGUGAAAACUGGAGGCUCAACCUCCAGCCUGCAGUGGGUACGGGCAGACUAGAGUGCGGUAGGGGAGAUUGGAAUUCCUGGUGUAGCGGUGGAAUGCGCAGAUAUCAGGAGGAACACCGAUGGCGAAGGCAGAUCUCUGGGCCGUAACUGACGCUGAGGAGCGAAAGCAUGGGGAGCGAACAGGAUUAGAU
This 709-nucleotide ribosomal RNA is filed under the name uncultured bacterium. RNAcentral describes it as "bacterial SSU rRNA". It matches the Rfam family "Bacterial small subunit ribosomal RNA", at positions 59 to 783 of the family's 1533-position model. The record is from RNAcentral.